CGGUAAUUCCAGCUCCAAUAGCGUAUAUUAAAAUUGUUGCAGUUAAAAAGCUCGUAGUUGAAUUUCUGCUAAAAAUAACCGGUCUGCUUUUAAUAAAGGUGGUAUCUUGGUGUGUUUUUAGCAAUAAUGUCCUUUGAAAUGUUUUUUACUUCAUUGUAAGAAAUUAUAUUCAGGAUUUUUACUUUGAGAAAAUUAGAGUGUUUCUAGCAGGCUAACGCUUUGAAUACUGCAGCAUGGAAUAAUAAAAUAGGAUUUUGGUUCUACAUUAUUGGUUUUAAGAGCUAAAUUAAUGAUUGAUAGGGACAGUUGGGGGCAUUUGUAUUUAACUGUCACAGGUGAAAUUCUUA
This 347-nucleotide ribosomal RNA is filed under the name Hepatozoon felis. Its description in RNAcentral is "partial small subunit ribosomal RNA". It matches the Rfam family "Eukaryotic small subunit ribosomal RNA", at positions 577 to 922 of the family's 1831-position model. The record is from RNAcentral. Lineage: Eukaryota; Apicomplexa; Hepatozoidae.